UUGUGCUAAAAUUCCAGAGAGCUCCUCCUUAAAUGCGAAAACAUGACCCAGGAGCAUGGAUUCAUUAAUUCGUUGUACUUUCAUGAGGAACACUGCACGGAGGAAUGAAAAUGCCACCUGGGUGCCAGAGAAGAAUUUUUUUCAGGCGCUAUGCAGAAAAACUUUCUGGAAGAUGUUUGAUCAUUUCGUGGAUGUGUUUGUGUUUUUCAACUCUAAGUGAGGAACUGAUCAAGGUGACACGGGAUCAUCUUGGGAGAAUGCACAAGGUAAAAGCACUCUGCAAGGUAUCGUGGGGGCAUCGCUAGAGAUAACAAAGAUCCCAAAUUUGAGGAACUUUUGGACUAGGAGAAAAGCAGGUUGUUUUUAUGUGGAAGAGCCAUGUCCAAGACUGUGUGGAUCCUAACUUUUGAGAAAGACAAGAAAGGAGGGAGGAAGAAUGGAGUAAAAAAGAGAAGGGAGGGAA
This 463-nucleotide long non-coding RNA is filed under the name Fukomys damarensis (Damara mole-rat). Its description in RNAcentral is "lncRNA (ENSFDAG00000024770.1)". Lineage: Eukaryota; Metazoa; Chordata; Mammalia; Rodentia; Bathyergidae. The record is from RNAcentral.